RNAcentral lists this ribosomal RNA (322 nucleotides) under uncultured eukaryote. Its description in RNAcentral is "partial 18S ribosomal RNA". It matches the Rfam family "Eukaryotic small subunit ribosomal RNA", at positions 1470 to 1796 of the family's 1831-position model. The record is from RNAcentral.
CCCUUAGAUGUUCUGGGCCGCACGCGUGCUACACUGAGUGGAUCAGCGGGUCAGGUUGCGCGAAAGCGUUUCCUAAUCUUUAAAUCCGCUCGUGAUGGGGAUUGACGGUUGCAAUUUUCUGUCAUGAACGAGGAAUACCUUGUAAGCGCGGGUCAUCAUCCCGCGCUGAAUACGUCCCUGCCCUUUGUACACACCGGCCGUCGCUCCUACCGAUUGAGUGGUCCGGUGAGGCUUUGGGAUCUGAGCGGAAAGAGCGUUUCGCUGUUUCUGCUCGGAAAACUCAGUCGAACCUUAUCAUUUAGAGGAAGGAGAAGUCGUAACA